Molecule: small nucleolar RNA, 102 nt
Organism: Ochotona curzoniae (black-lipped pika)
Lineage: Eukaryota; Metazoa; Chordata; Mammalia; Lagomorpha; Ochotonidae
Product: small nucleolar RNA U13
Exons: 1
Source: RefSeq, a predicted model, not a curated record
AUCCUUUUGUGGUUUGUAAGCAUCAUAGUUUUGUUGACACAUGGUUGUGACAUGUGUUCCCUCCAAAUUUUGUAAUGACAUUGGCACAUUACCUACCUGCUG